CCUGCAGAUGGAUCAUCGU
This 19-nucleotide ribosomal RNA is filed under the name Heterorhabditis indica. RNAcentral describes it as "partial 18S ribosomal RNA". Lineage: Eukaryota; Metazoa; Nematoda; Chromadorea; Rhabditida; Heterorhabditidae. The record is from RNAcentral.